GAUGAACGCUGGCGGCGUGCCUAGUACAUGCAAGUCGAGCGAACGGACGAGAAGCUUGCUUCUCUGAUGUUAGCGGCGGACGGGUGAGUAACACGUGGAUAACCUACCUAUAAGACUGGGAUAACUUCGGGAAACCGGAGCUAAUACCGGAUAAUAUUUUGAACCGCAUGGUUCAAAAGUGAAAGACGGUCUUGCUGUCACUUAUAGAUGGAUCCGCGUUGCAUUAGCUAGUUGGUAAGGUAACGGCUUACCAAGGCAACGAUGCAUAGCCGACCUGAGAGGGUGAUCGGCCACACUGGAACUGAGACACGGUCCAGACUCCUACGGGAGGCAGCAGUAGGGAAUCUUCCGCAAUGGGCGAAAGCCUGACGGAGCAACGCCGCGUGAGUGAUGAAGGUCUUCGGGUCGUAAAACUCUUUUAUUAGGGAAGAACAUAUGUGUAAGUAACUGUGCACAUCUUGACGGUACCUAAUCAGAAAGCCACGGCUAACUACGUG
Molecule: ribosomal RNA, 497 nt
Filed under: uncultured bacterium
Lineage: Bacteria
Description: partial 16S ribosomal RNA
Rfam family: Bacterial small subunit ribosomal RNA
Source: RNAcentral